UGUGGGGAGGAGAGGGGGUCUGGCAGAGGUUGGGGGUGGGCGGAAUGAGGACCCUGUUUUCUUCUUUUCGGUUUGCUGUGGAUGAAGGAGGGAGAGAGAAAGAGAAAGGGGGUGGGGAGAGAAGCGAGACAGAUGGCAGAGUGGAGAGGCGGCAGCCAGUGCCGGCACUGCCCAGCCUGGGCGGACCCAGCUCCCCCCCCUGCCAGCUUUCCAAAUGCCACCCUUCCCCCAUCCUCCCCUCACCCCAUCCCCCCAGCUUGGCACUGAUCUCCGAGAGAGAGGGAGAGAGGCUGGGCAAAGAGCAUCUGUUCCCUCCAUUUUCCCAGCUCUAUCGGCUGCCAACCUAGGGCCAUCGCCUGCCUCCAUCACCCCUCCGCCCGCCUGCCCGCCCGCCUACCCACCCAAUCCCAAACGGGUGCUGGAUCAGGUGCCGAAUCUGGCUGCCUCCUCGGGUAUACCCGUCACUGUGCAUUGCUGUGUGUCUGCCACCGCUGCCUGGCACUCAUGGGGCCGUGUGUAUGUGUGUGUGUGUGUGCGCAUGUACAUGUACGCAUAAACGCGUGCUGUAUGUGAGCCUCCUGGGCAUGGGUGGGGGUUGGCACUGCGGUUGCCAAUCUAGUGUCCAACCAGAAGGACAGGGGGAUGGAGUGGAAGGAGGGGAGAGGGUUGAGGCCUGGGAGGGCAGAAGAGGGUGCAUGAGUUGCUUCAUGCUGCCUGCUUACACGCAUUGGCACUGCAGCUGCCACCCUUGUGCCCGCGGAGAUGGGAGGAAGCGAAUGGGGAGGGGGACAGCCGCAGGAGUCCUGGUGGUCUGAGAGGGAGACUCGGUACCUGGGAGCCAUUGGCAUCACACCCGUCAGGCUGGUGCCCCGAGCUGGGGCAGUGGGAACAGGGGCCCCAGGAGGCAGAGAGGAGGGGCAGAGAUGUGUUAAUGAUGUUUCUGUCUCUCUGGAGCUCAGCUCUGAGAAACAGUUGGACUAUGAGGUAGUUAGCCUUCUUCUAGUCUGGGAAAGUGAAGUGGUGGAAAGAGUAGCCAGGGAAGUGCCAAGAAAGUGUCUAAGAGCAGGAGAAGGGAUCGUGCCACUGCUCCCUGGGGGAGCUCCUCAGGGCUGGCCUUUGUGAAAAGCACGGGGAUGUGGGCGUGAAGCAAUGGGUGCUGGCACUGCCCACGGAGCCUGGCAGAGGCUCUGGCAUUGUGUGGAAUGGAGGAGGGUAGAAGUGCCUCUUGCCAAUCUGGUUGAGAAGAUUGCUGUGUGCCAGGAAUGAGAAGGGAGGUGAGAUGGUGUGUGUGUGUGUGUGUGUGUGUGUGUGUGUGUGAGAGAGAGAGAGAGAGAGAGAGAGAGAGAGAGAGAGAGAGAGAGUUGUUUGGGAGAACAGACUUGUUUUCUGCCAGGACCUCCUUCCUGUUCCCUCUUAGGCAUGGGGAGCGGAGCGACAGACGGAGAGAGGCUUGAGGACACAAAGGAGGAAGCGUGCCAUUGCCAAGACCCCAAGGAAGAAGGACAGAGAGCGCUGGCAGUCCUGUCUGGCCCCCAGCCAGUUUCCUGCUGAAGAUGGCCAAAUCCUCUUGCCUGGUCUGUGCUGCUCAUCUGGGUCCUGUAGCGCCGCUGCCCCAUUCCAUCUGGAACCCCGACCCCACUUCCUGUCCCUCCACUGCUUCCCCCAGCCCCAGGAGACUCUGGUUCGGCCAGACUGGAAGCAGACGAAUCGCUGAGAUCCCCUGCAGAUGGACUGCAAGCCUCGCUCUCUGGUGAAGCUUUAGAAGGUUCCUCUGUAGCCUCUUCCUCACUGGGUGGAGGGGGAGGUGGGAGAGGUAGAGGUGGCUCUGGUGUUGGGGUGGUGGCCUCCUUCCCAGGUGGUAGGAAAGCCAGGGGCCCGGCAGCAGGAGUAACUGGUGGGUAGGGAAAAGCAGGUGCUUCCCGCUUUGGGGCUUCCCUCCCAGAUCCAUCAUCUACCUUGCCCAACAAGAGGUUGAACUUGGGGAAGGCUGCAGGGGCAGGAGUGAUGGGGGGCUUGACUGCUGGAUUGGGCACCCCACCCGGGGUGCUUCGAAACUGGCCUUUCCUCUCCCGGGCCCUGGUGUUCUGGAACCAGACCUGCACCACCCGCUUUUUGAGUCCCACCUCCUCGGAGAUGCAGUCGAGCAUCUUGCGCGUUGGGUUAGAGUCUUGCAUGUACCAACGGUACAGGAUCUCCAGCUGCUCGGGCAGGAUGGUGGCUUUCCCUUCCUAUGGAAGCUAACAUGCUCCGGGAGGUUACUUUCUUCAGAGAUUUCUCACCACCUGAUAUUUCCUGGUUUACUUACUUCUCCCUUCUAGACGAUGAGGCGGCCAAGAAACAGGUUGAGUGAGCUGCUAACUGUCGCACAACUCCAAGGAGGGGAAACCAGAGGACUGGCGGGGCACAGAGACCUGGGCCCUCCAUCUACCUGGAUCGUCCCUCAGACCCAGGAAAGGCCAAAUGAGCCUCCAGAGGUCUAGCAGUCAGAAUUCCGGGGCUCCCUCCAGCUACUAGAAACGCCAGGCCUCCCACGCUGUUCCCAGCCUUUUUACCUUGAUUACCACACCUUCCUCCCCCUCCGCAACCCCCCCCACCCCGCUUCCCGUCCCCACCAAACUCACCAGUUCCCCAUGCUUCACCAUUCCAUACUUUUCCCAAUGUCCCAAGUGGUUUGCAUCCACUCCAGGUCUUAAUUAUCAGCCAAUCUCUAAUGAUUAAACCUUUAGCGUUCAAGCCCAUGCUUCCAGAAGGGAUGUGGUCUCUCCUUCCUUCCUUGGGCCACCUCUAACGCUCACCUUCAGAUUCUUUGAUUAGGAAUGGGUCUUCGGCCUGGCCCCACCCAGCCUGCAGGCCCCCUUUCCCACUUCCCCCCCUCCUCCUAGGGGGCUAGCCAGGCGUGAAGUCAGAGCCAUUAAGUAGCUCCGCGUGGGGCUGGAUCAGCAUGCUAAUGAAAUGCAAAUCAGCACCUGGGCAAGGGGUGGAGGGCUGGGGGGUGGGGGGAGGUAGCUGGAGAACCGGGAGGAAAGUAAAGGUAUUAGAUGGAGGGGUUAUCCUAGAUAACCAGAAAGCAGAAGCCCGAAACUGGGAGAAAGGUGUCUCUCCUACGGAAUCCUUGGGGGUAGGGGGUAAAAGCGCUGGAUCACGAGGGUCUGACAGUCCACUGUUAGCCCUCACAGUGGGGGCCCACCACCCUUUUGCUGCCCCACCUGGUGGGAAGAAGUGAGGCUGGGCAAGCCGGGCUUCUCCCGGGCCCUGCCACCGAGGCCUGACCCGGGUGGUGCUUCAUCCCCGCUGGGCCACCGCGCCUACAUCACAUCGAUCAGCUGCUUCCUCCUGGCUCCUGAUUCACAACUCCAGAUCUAACUUCAGAGGAGGUGCUAGAACGACCUAAGCCCCAAAUCCUCUCUCCAAAGCUUCUACUUCCCAGGACUGGAAAAAGACCCAGCUGAUUCUUAGUUAGAAACCAAAGGAGUUUAGCUCUGGGCUAGCUCGUGGGCGAGACCCAGACCGCCAAGGGUAGGUCGGCAGCUGUUUAAAAUUGCAAAUCUCUUCCCCACCUCCCUCCUCCUCCUCUACAGGAAAGAAUUUCAAUUGCAAAUUUAUCUCUGCCUCAGUGCACCCCCCCAGCUCCCCCCCUUUUCUUCUCCACGCUUCUCCCAUCACCCUCUAUUUAUUACAAACCUUUAACUGCAGCAAUGAUUUUUUUUUUCACCUUUUCUUUCCUCCUUCCAUUUCCCUCCUCCUCAAUCUUUUCCUCCUUCCCUCUCUGAAUCUCUGUGUCCCUCUCUUUGCCCUUCCUACCUUGAACUCAGUUUUCAGCUCUUUCUGGAGAUGAUGCAGAGCCGGAUGACAGACCAAGUCACCCUCCACCUACCACCUCCAGGCCAAGAGUCCUGUUCACCCUCAGACCACUGCCAUUCCUCCUGUAGUUCCGGGCUUUCCUUAAGGGCGUCUCCUCUCCCUUGGGGCACAUCUCAGAGAGCCGGGUCCAUGGUUAUUGCUCAGGAUGAGAAGGGAAGGCUGGAAGUGCUACUUUCAAAGCUCAGCUAGGGAGGAGUUGCCCCCCAAACAUAAUCACUGAACUGCAAACAUUGUUCCAUGGGAGGUGUGCAGAAAUGCACCCAGUAAAUAGCUGGACAAGAAUUCCUCCUUCUUGACAAAUGCUCCCUAUUCGGGGGGCAGAUCCACCGUGCUUAAAACAGGAAGAAGCCGGGGAGCUGGGAGGCUCCAAGACGGACAGUAGACCCAGAAAGCUACCGAGAGAGAGAAAGAUGUUAAGAGAUGGACUGAAAGGCUUGGAUAUGAAAUUACGGACGUCUGAAAAGGUGGGCUCUGAGACCGCACAAGGCAGGGAGAACACAGUGAGGCACAAGAGCCAAAGGAGCAAGGGCAAAGGAAGGACCGAAGAAACGCGGCCGGAGGACAGAGAGACUCUAUCCCUCCCCGAGGAGGAACCUGGGCACGGGUGCAGCAAAUGGAGGCAAAGCCAGCGACGGGAGCUCCCGUCUGGAGCCCGGCAAGACCAGGGCUACCCUUGGAUGGCGCCCCCUUCCGCCCCAAGCAGGCCACCGAGAGGAGAAGAAACACUACUGCUCCCUAGUGGUUAUGGGAGGAACAUCACCAAGGAGAAAACAUGCCAGGCCGGGCGAACAGAUUGCCUUUCUCUUCCCCACUCCCCGCCUUAAACCAGAAUCCCACUUAAAGCAAAAUCCCACUCCCUUCUUUUCUCCAGACGCAAGGACAUGGCAAAGACCUUCCCAGAAAGUCUACCAGAUGCCACCAGCACAUUUGCUUAAAAUUUGCAUACAAUGAUUUCCACAUCAGAGCCUUCCAAACAGUUUUGCCUUUCACUUUUCCAACUGUUGGACCUAUCCCCUCUCCCUUACUGAAGAGUCCAUUUUUAGGACCUUUCCUUUUCUUUUUCCUCUCUCUGAAAUUCUUGCCUAGGGCACUGCCCUCUUCCACACUCAUUUUGCCUCUUGCCCCUUUUUGUCUCAACCUGUUGCUUUUAAGAGGCAGAAGCCUUGGAGAAGAGGGGAAAAGAAAAAGGAAAUAUAGAGUGCCCUGCCUAACAGGGAUUGUUUGGUAUAGACAAUAAACUCUAACUUGAUGAGCUUGAUUUUUAAA
Acinonyx jubatus (cheetah) is the source of this 5127-nucleotide long non-coding RNA. RefSeq lists it as uncharacterized. Lineage: Eukaryota; Metazoa; Chordata; Mammalia; Carnivora; Felidae. The transcript has 5 exons. The record is from RefSeq and is a predicted model, not a curated record.